GCGCCCGUAGCUCAAGUGGAUAGAGUAACUGGCUUCGAACCAGUUGGUUGGGGGUUCGAGUCCCUCCGGGCGUA
This 74-nucleotide transfer RNA is filed under the name Acidimicrobiia bacterium. Its description in RNAcentral is "tRNA-Arg". It matches the Rfam family "tRNA". From Rfam's summary of the family: Transfer RNA (tRNA) molecules are approximately 80 nucleotides in length. Their secondary structure includes four short double-helical elements and three loops (D, anti-codon, and T loops). The record is from RNAcentral. Lineage: Bacteria; Bacillati; Actinomycetota; Acidimicrobiia.